Molecule: ribosomal RNA, 451 nt
Filed under: uncultured organism
Description: partial 16S ribosomal RNA
Rfam family: Bacterial small subunit ribosomal RNA
Source: RNAcentral
ACACUCCUGCGGGAGGCAGCAGUGGGGAAUAUUGGACAAUGGGCGCAAGCCUGAUCCAGCCAUGCCGCGUGAGUGAUGAAGGCCCUAGGGUUGUAAAGCUCUUUCACCGGUGAAGAUAAUGACGGUAACCGGAGAAGAAGCCCCGGCUAACUUCGUGCCAGCAGCCGCGGUAAUACGAAGGGGGCUAGCGUUGUUCGGAUUUACUGGGCGUAAAGCGCACGUAGGCGGACUAUUAAGUCAGGGGUGAAAUCCCGGGGCUCAACCCCGGAACUGCCUUUGAUACUGGUAGUCUUGAGUUCGAGAGAGGUGAGUGGAAUUCCGAGUGGAGAGGUGAAAUUCGUAGAUAUUCGGAGGAACACCAGUGGCGAAGGCGGCUCACUGGCUCGAUACUGACGCUGAGGUGCGAAAGCGUGGGGAGCAAACAGGAUUAGAAACCCGGGUAGUCCCAUGA